UGGGGAAUAUUGCACAAUGGGCGGAAGCCUGAUGCGGCGACGCCGCGUGGGGGAUGAAGGCCUUCGGGUUGUAAACUCCUUUCGACAGGGACGAAGCUUUUGUGACGGUACCUGUAUAAGAAGCACCGGCUAACUACGUGCCAGCAGCCGCGGUAAUACGUAGGGUGCGAGCGUUGUCCGGAAUUACUGGGCGUAAAGAGCUCGUAGGUGGUUUGUCGCGUCGUCUGUGAAAUUCCGGGGCUUAACUCCGGGCGUGCAGGCGAUACGGGCUGACUUGAGUGCUGUAGGGGAGACUGGAAUUCCUGGUGUAGCGGUGAAAUGCGCAGAUAUCAGGAGGAACACCGAUGGCGAAGGCAGGUCUCUGGGCAGUAACUGACGCUGAGGAGCGAAAGCAUGGGUAGCGAACAGG
This 409-nucleotide ribosomal RNA is filed under the name Actinomycetes bacterium. Its description in RNAcentral is "Actinobacteria bacterium partial 16S ribosomal RNA". It matches the Rfam family "Bacterial small subunit ribosomal RNA", at positions 355 to 776 of the family's 1533-position model. The record is from RNAcentral. Lineage: Bacteria; Bacillati; Actinomycetota; Actinomycetes.